RNAcentral lists this long non-coding RNA (1473 nucleotides) under Brassica rapa (field mustard). RNAcentral's name for it is "long non-coding RNA (BRAP_LNC002198)". Lineage: Eukaryota; Viridiplantae; Streptophyta; Magnoliopsida; Brassicales; Brassicaceae. The record is from RNAcentral.
CUGAUUCGACCUAUGAUCAAGACAUAUACACCUUUGAGAGGUUUUCACGUCUCUCUUCUUUUAUUUUAUUUUGUUAGCAAAUGUUUUGUAUUUUACAUUAGUACAUUACUCAUUUCCAUUAUUGUCUUUCCAGUUACAAGGUCUUUAGUUUUCAAUACUUGCUAAUAUUCAUGACCAGCGACUUAUGAGUUUUUUUGGUCUUUAGUUUUCAAUACUUGAUAGUAUUAUUUAAUAUUCUAUAAUAAAUAAAAUUCAGUACUGAUUUGUAACAUUGUAUAAAAAUAUAAAAUUACCAUUUAAAAUUGCCACCAAACACUGUAGUAAUAGGGGCAUAAAAGAAAGACAAUUAAAGAAAACUCUUUACUUUAAAAAGGACAAUAGAAGAAAGUUUGAUGUAUUAUUAUUUUUCUUAAUAAUUUUUUGUACUAUUCAUGUUGCGUGUACAUUUGUGAAAUAUAUAUGAUUUUAUUUAUGUUUCAAACGUGGAAUAUUUAAAUCACUAGAAAUUUCAUUUUUUCUUUAUUAUUUAGCAAUUUUGUUACAAACACCAUAUUUUCUUUCAACAUAUUCACCGUCAUAAUUUUUUUCUCUUCAAUCGCUAAACCCUCUUUACCGCACUACUAUUUUUUUUUUUGCAUUAGUCAGACCAGAUAUAAAUUUAAAAGUACAGGUAUAUAUAUUUUUUAUUUUUUGCGAAAGGAGUUUGUAUAUAUAUAUGUUGCCAUGAUAUAAAAAACUCUAAUAAAUAUUUGCAUCAUUGCAUAGCUUAUUAUUAACUUGUAAAGAUAGACCAAUGCAGUGAGGAAUAACAACGUAAUAAUUAUUACUGGACGUACAUAUUCUUUUCUAAAUCUAUUAUUACUUCUACCAUAAUAUUCGGUGGUUAGAAAUUCAGGUCUGCAAGUUUGUUUUGACGAGACUUAUGACUUGUGUAGUGAAUGGUUAUUUUGUUGGUCAGUUGGUAUGCACACAGUAUAACAAACGGUAAAACGUACAAUAAGUUCAAUAACUAAGUCUGUAAUUGCUGUUCAAACAUGAGAUUCAAAAUUCUAAUAUAUUAAAAGUGAAAUAUCAGUGUCGUAGUUACAUGUGGAACAGAGGUCAAGUAAUGCAAUAUGAGGAAGAUAUAUGUAUCAGAGUAAAAUGAGGAGUUGCAUGUGAGCACUGGGAGAGAAGAUAGAGAAAGCACAUGCGAAAAGGUACUCAACUGCCAUUACCUAACAUUUUCACGUCUCAAGAUUGGUGAAUGGUCUCUCCAUUUUAAAUCACCCAUGUGAUCUUAAGAUUUAUUCAUAGUAGAAUGUUAAGACCUAAAAUUUUAAGAGUAUCCAACCGGAGUAAAUGCCAUUAGCCAAAGUCGCAUAUUUUGAGAUAUUAUGUUUGUACAACAACUUUUAUAUAUAGAAUUGAGACGACGUACUAAAUUUACCUAAAACGAACACUUUAUUAAAUAUAAAUCCAACCACUGAAAAC